UCACGUAGAAUAUUAAUGGUCGAACAGACCAACCUUUAAAGACUUCUGCAUCUUUGGGAUAUUCUGGUCCAACAUCGAGGUCACAAACUUUUUUUUCGAUUAGAGCUCUAAAAAAAAAUAAUGCUGUUAUCCCUACGGUAACUAAUUCUUUUAAUCAGAGAGUUCUGGAUCGUAGCUGAGAGCUUGUUAAAAAAAGGAGGUUUUUAGUGCUCCUUGGUUGCCCCAACCAAAAUUUUUAGGAUUUUAGUUUCAGUUUAGUUACAAAGGUAUACUAAUUUUUUUCAAGCUCGAUAGGGUCUUCUUGUCUUUUAAUAAAAUAUAGGCUUUUUCACCUAUAGAUAAAAUUCUAAGAAAUUUCAACUGAGACAGAUUUAUCCAUGUCAAACCAUUCAUUCCAGCCCUCAAUUAUAGGGCAAAUUAUUAUGCUACCUUUGCACAGUCAGGGUACUGCGGCCGUUUAAAGUUCACCGGGCAGGUAUGAUUUCUUAUAGGUGGUGUACAAAAAACGAUGUUUUU
RNAcentral lists this ribosomal RNA (516 nucleotides) under Hemilienardia ocellata. RNAcentral's name for it is "partial 16S ribosomal RNA". The record is from RNAcentral. Lineage: Eukaryota; Metazoa; Mollusca; Gastropoda; Neogastropoda; Raphitomidae.